This 609-nucleotide long non-coding RNA is filed under the name Eucalyptus grandis. Its description in RNAcentral is "long non-coding RNA (EGRA_LNC004919)". Lineage: Eukaryota; Viridiplantae; Streptophyta; Magnoliopsida; Myrtales; Myrtaceae. The record is from RNAcentral.
UGUAGUUUUCGUCAUCGGGAGAGGUUCAGGAAUUUUCAAAAUUCCCUAGUGGAUUGUGAUCUUUCGAGCUUAGUGGAUGAUGAUGGUUACCUUCACAUUAGGGUUACUCUACUUCUUUGUUAGUCAAUAUCCAAUUUCAUGUUAAGUCCAAGAUUGCAUUUGGUGGAUAGAUUGGGAUAUGAUAAGAUGAUGUGAGAAUCUAUGAUAAGAUAAUGUGAGAUUUAGAAUCCUCCAAAUGUCUUUCGGAUCAUAGAAAAUCCCAUAAAAUAUUUGGUGCAAUUCAAGAAUAGACAAAAAAAAAAAAAACUUUGAAAAUCUUACUUGGCCAGCGCAAUCUUUUACGAUAUCUAGAUGUUACUGCAUGAGUUCCCUUACUAGCGUCUUAAACCUGCUCUUUUCAACUCCCUUCAAUUUGUUUCCUUCAUUGCCACUUUUGCCAAAUCCAUUGCUAUCUCCACCUCCAAAUUAGAGUCCUCGCUCAAGUUCACCAUAUUAAAGGGGGUUUAGAUGCUGGCGAAGACAAGCCUCGGGUUGCCGACAGUGUCGCGAAGUGACCUGGGGAGGUAGCAACUACAACGAUCUGGUAAACGAGGUAGCAAUAACUGAUAA